RNAcentral lists this ribosomal RNA (699 nucleotides) under uncultured bacterium. RNAcentral describes it as "bacterial SSU rRNA". It matches the Rfam family "Bacterial small subunit ribosomal RNA", at positions 8 to 667 of the family's 1533-position model. The record is from RNAcentral.
AGAGUUUGAUCCUGGCUCAGAACGAACGCUGGCGGCGUGGAUUAGGCAUGCAAGUCGAACGGGAUCACUUGGAUUCAAUUCUUCGGAAGAGAAACCUUGUGUGGGAGUGGCGAACUGGUGAGGAACGCGUGGGCAACUUGCCCGUGAGUUCGGGAUAGCCUUCCGAAAGGAGGGGUAAUACCGGAUGUGGUAUUCCAUCGCAUGAUGGAUGAUCUAAAGGUGGGGAUCUUCGGACCUGCCGCUCAUGGAUGGGCCCGCGUACUAUCAGCUUGUUGGUGAGGUAAUGGCUCACCAAGGCUUUGACGGUUAGCUGGUCUGAGAGGAUGGUCAGCCACACUGGGACUGAGACACUGCCCAGACUCCUACGGGAGGCUGCAGUCGAGAAUCAUUGUCAAUGCACGAAAGUGUGAACAUGCGACGCCGCGUGGAGGAUGAAGGCUUUCGGGUUGUAAACUCCUGUCAGAAGGGAACAAUGGCCCAGGUGCUAAUAACGCUUGGGUUUGAUGGUACCUUCAGAGGAAGCCACGGCUAACUCUGUGCCAGCAGCCGCGGUAAUACAGAGGUGGCGAGCGUUGUUCGGAUUUACUGGGCGUAAAGGGUGCGUAGGCGGCCAUGUGUGUCGGAUGUGAAAUCUCACUGCUCAACGGUGAAACUGCAUCUGAAACUGCGUGGCUAGAGUACAGGAGAGGAGAGAGGAAU